Molecule: long non-coding RNA, 1121 nt
Filed under: Populus trichocarpa (black cottonwood)
Lineage: Eukaryota; Viridiplantae; Streptophyta; Magnoliopsida; Malpighiales; Salicaceae
Description: long non-coding RNA (PTRI_LNC000082)
Source: RNAcentral
AUGCAUGGAAGAAGAGUAUAAAUACCAUUGAAUCAUAAGAUUUAUUAGCGAUUUAGACAAAUUUUGUACUAUAAUUAAUGCUUCAAAACUUAUUGUUGAGCACAGGGAGUCGGCAUGCAUAGCAUUUUUUAAGUCUGCUCUCAAUUUCAUUUUGCAAAAGUAAUAUAAUUAAUGAAGCUAAAAAUUACAACCUUCCUGAUAAUGAUUAAGUAUCCAUUCAUCAAUCUAUAACUCUUCGUAAGCAAAAGCGUAAUUACAUGUACAUUUGGGUCAUGACCCAAAUGAAAAAACCUCACAUGAGAGGACUCAAAAUGGGAAAAAAAAAAAAAGAUAAUAUAUAUCCUCUUCAAACGACUCGUCUCUCGUUCUCAAGCCCUUCAGGACUUUCCAUGAUACUCUCCAGAGAGGGUUUCCAUGUCUUAACUUUCAUUGAUCUCCCUCUCUCUAUCUCUCCCAAGACAUCUUCUAGCUUCUUUCCUCCAUUGACCUUUAGCUGAAACAGUAACCACUCUAGCUCCUCCUUUGUAAGCACGAUCUUAACCUUAAGACUUGAACCUUUCUCAAAGUUACCACUUUCCUUCACGAACUCUAGUUCUUUCUUUUCCUGGUGAAGCUCCUUCAUGUUAUCAUCCUCUUCAUGCUGCCUUCUUGUGCUAGGCUUUAUGCAAUUUCCCAUAUUUUGAAGUGAAAAAAGAAGAAGAAGAAGCUCUCGACGUAUAAUUAACAGUACCCAAAAUGGUUUUGGGAGCUCAAAAAAUGAAGAAUAAAAGGGAAAGGUACAACAAUGGAAAAGUCGGUGCCGAACGCUUCAACUUGUGAAUAUGAGGUUGGAGGGAGUCAUGGUAUUUAUAGGGGUUAGGUGCCCAUAAUUUACGUAGAAUUUCUUAAACAUGAAUAUAUAAUAAUGAUUUUUCUAUAUGCUAAGAGACAAACUAAAUUUCAAGGAAUAAGACACAACUACUUGUGUGCCAUUUUAUUAAAUUAGUUACGUACGUACAUUUAUUUAUUUCUCUUUAUAAGUAGUUGGGUGCUAGCCAAAGAGAGAACUGCCUGCUCUCUUAAGUCUUAUCAGCUUCUAUAUUUAUUCAUUGUAAUUACUUUCCGCUAUUUUUAAAGAAUCC